This 1236-nucleotide long non-coding RNA is filed under the name Canis lupus familiaris (dog). Its description in RNAcentral is "lncRNA (ENSCAFG00030025153.1)". The record is from RNAcentral. Lineage: Eukaryota; Metazoa; Chordata; Mammalia; Carnivora; Canidae.
AAACGAACAAGCUUUCCGAAUGAACAGCUCAGGGACAGCGAUGGGCCUUUAAGGGAAGGCUGGAGGAUUUGGGGGCGGCACCCCGGGAACAAUUUGCGGUGCAGAGCUCCACCUAAGCCUGUUGCCCGCGUCCGAGCGGGGACCGGCGCCGGGCGAAUCCUCGGGCUCCCCGGGUCUCGGUCUCUCGGUCUCUCGGUCGGGCGCUCGGCGGCCCGGGGCCUGGGGUUGCCCCGCCCACGUCCCGCCCGGGGCCGCUCGGGGGCCGGGCCAGCCCGCAGGUGCGGGUCCUCGGGUCCUCCGGUCCUCCGGGCGGCGGGGGCGGGGCCCGGGCGGCGGGGGCGGGGCCUGGGCGGCGGGCCCGGCGGGGGGGCGGGCGGCGCACGUGCGGGCCGGGCGGGCGGGGAUCCCCGGCGCCGGGGGCGGGGCACCCGGAAGCGCGCGGAGCGGCCACGCGGGGCCGGCGGGUGGCGGGCGGCGGGCGGCGGGGAGGCGGGGAGACGGGGAGACGGGGAGGCGGGCGCACCGCCGGGGCCGGGGCCGGGGCCGGGGCCGGGGCCAGCCGUGCGCACAGGUGGGCGGCGGCGCGGAGCCGGGGCCCCCGGAGCCCCGCGGAGCCGAGCUCUGCAGACGCGGCCGCGCCUCGGGGGGAGCCGGCCGAGGUCGCCCCCGCGUCGGCCUCGGGCUGCCGCCGCACCUCGGCCCCGGAGCGCAGGUAACUUCCCUUCCAAGGUCAUCCGUGGGGCGGGGCGGGGCGGGGCGGGGCGGGGCGGCGCUCGCGGGCGGCGGGGACGGGGGCGGGACAGGGGCGCGGGCCGGACGGCGACCCGGGGCGCUGCGCCGCCGCCCCCGCCGCCCCCGCCGCGCCCCCCGGAGGGCGAGUUUGCACCUGCGCGGGGCCGUCCCCGCCGGCGCCGGCAGGUGAGCUGUGGGGCCCGCGCGGUCGGCCGGCCCGGCGGGGAGCGAGGGAGCCCGGGCGCCGGCGGCCCGGCUGGGAAGGGGCGGCGGGGGCGGCGGGGGCGCCCGGACCCGGGUCGGGCCGAGCCGAGCGGAGCCGGGAACGCCUGGCGAACACGAGACUCCCCCCUCCCUCCCCCCCCCUCCCCUUCCCCCUCCCCUCCCCCUCCCCCUCCCGGUUGCUCUUUCAGGCGUCGGCGGAUAAUCCGGGAGCGGCGUGCGUGCGUACGAGGUAGGAGCCGAGCGCUCUGCACCUUUGCCUGCUGCGGGCUCCUCGCACCU